RNAcentral lists this ribosomal RNA (317 nucleotides) under uncultured bacterium. RNAcentral's name for it is "bacterial SSU rRNA". It matches the Rfam family "Bacterial small subunit ribosomal RNA", at positions 190 to 507 of the family's 1533-position model. The record is from RNAcentral.
UCUAUUUUAUAUUAUAGCUACGGCGCUUGUUGAUGGGUGUGCGGCUGAUUAGGUAGUUGGCGGGGUAAUGGCCCACCAAAGCCUGCGAUCAGUAGCUGAUGUGAGAGCAUGAUCAGCCACACGGGCACUGAGACACGGGCCCGACUCCUACGGGAGGCAGCAGUAAGGAAUAUUGGACAAUGGGCGCAAGCCUGAUCCAGCCAUGCCGCGUGAAGGAUUAAGGUCCUCUGGAUUGUAAACUUCUUUUAUAAGGGACGAAAAAGGGAAUUCUUUCUCACUUGACGGUACCUUAUGAAUAAGCACCGGCUAACUCCGUG